GACGAACGCUGGCGGCGUGCCUAACACAUGCAAGUCGAGCGGAGAUUUCUUUGGCACUGAGUACUCUAGUAAAGACGCAAAGGAAGCGUCAUGAAGAAACAACAUAGAUGUUAAAAACACUGAUAAAAGUUUCUUCAUCACGCGUUUUUAAAGUGCCAACACAAAGAGGGAAGGAUAAGUAGAGUAUUGAGUGCCAAAGAAAUCUUAGCGGCGGACGGGUGAGUAACACGUGGGCAACCUGCCUUGAAGUGGGGGAUAACACCGGGAAAUCGGUGCUAAUACCGCAUAACAUACACAAACUGCAUGGUGAGUGUAUCAAAGGAGCAAUCCGCUUUAAGAUGGGCCCGCGGCUGAUUAGCUAGUUGGUAAGGUAACGGCUUACCAAGGCGACGAUCAGUAGCCGACCUGAGAGGGUGACCGGCCACACUGGAACUGAGACACGGUCCAGACUCCUACGGGAGGCAGCAGUGGGGAAUAUUGCGCAAUGGGGGAA
This 493-nucleotide ribosomal RNA is filed under the name uncultured bacterium. Its description in RNAcentral is "bacterial SSU rRNA". It matches the Rfam family "Bacterial small subunit ribosomal RNA", at positions 28 to 379 of the family's 1533-position model. The record is from RNAcentral.